GCUUACGGCCAUACCACCUGAACACGCCGAUCUCGUCCGAUCUCGGAAGCUAAGCAGGGUCGGGCCUGGUUAGUACUUGGAUGGGAGACGCCUGGGAAUACAGGUGCUGUAAGCU
This 115-nucleotide ribosomal RNA is filed under the name Labrus bergylta (ballan wrasse). The record is from RNAcentral. Lineage: Eukaryota; Metazoa; Chordata; Actinopteri; Labriformes; Labridae.